Long non-coding RNA from Suricata suricatta (meerkat), 176 nucleotides. RefSeq lists it as uncharacterized. The record is from RefSeq and is a predicted model, not a curated record. The transcript is spliced from 2 exons. Lineage: Eukaryota; Metazoa; Chordata; Mammalia; Carnivora; Herpestidae.
GGAGAACAUGAGGACAAGAUGAAUUAAACUUCAAAAGGGGACGGAGCCAUUUCACGGACAUUUACCAGAUACUGGUGGACUAGACCAAAAGUGAAACCUCCUGCACUCAUAGCCAUUAGGAAACAAAGAUACGGCACAGGGAGUGAGCCUGCAUUAAACUCACUGAUACAAACUCA